RNAcentral lists this ribosomal RNA (431 nucleotides) under uncultured bacterium. Its description in RNAcentral is "bacterial SSU rRNA". It matches the Rfam family "Bacterial small subunit ribosomal RNA", at positions 29 to 507 of the family's 1533-position model. The record is from RNAcentral.
AACGAACGCUGGCGGCAGGCCUAACACAUGCAAGUCGAACGCUCUCUUCGGAGGGAGUGGCAGACGGGUGAGUAACGCGUGGGAAUCUACCCAGCUCUACGGAAUAACGCAUGGAAACGUGUGCUAAUACCGUAUACGCCCCAUGGGGAAGGAUUAUCGGAGUUGGAUGAGCCCGCGUCUGAUUAGCUAGUUGGUGAGGUAAUGGCUCACCAAGGCGACGAUCAGUAGCUGGUCUGAGAGGAUGACCAGCCACACUGGGACUGAGACACGGCCCAGACUCCUACGGGAGGCAGCAGUGGGGAAUAUUGGACAAUGGGCGCAAGCCUGAUCCAGCCACGCCGCGUGAGUGAUGACGGCCUUAGGGUUGUAAAGCUCUUUCACCGGUGAAGAUAAUGACGGUAACCGGAGAAGAAGCCCCGGCUAACUUCGUG